UGGGGAAUUUUGGACAAUGGGCGAAAGCCUGAUCCAGCAAUGCCGCGUGUGUGAAGAAGGCCUUCGGGUUGUAAAGCACUUUUGUCCGGAAAGAAAUCCUUGGCUCUAAUACAGUCGGGGGAUGACGGUACCGGAAGAAUAAGCACCGGCUAACUACGUGCCAGCAGCCGCGGUAAUACGUAGGGUGCAAGCGUUAAUCGGAAUUACUGGGCGUAAAGCGUGCGCAGGCGGUUUGCUAAGACCGAUGUGAAAUCCCCGGGCUCAACCUGGGAACUGCAUUGGUGACUGGCAGGCUAGAGUAUGGCAGAGGGGGGUAGAAUUCCACGUGUAGCAGUGAAAUGCGUAGAGAUGUGGAGGAAUACCGAUGGCGAAGGCAGCCCCCUGGGCCAAUACUGACGCUCAUGCACGAAAGCGCGGGGGAGCAAACAGGAUUAGAUACCCUGGUAGUCCACGCCCUAAACGAUGUCAACUAGUUGUUGGGGAUUCAUUUCCUUAGUAACGUAGCUAACGCGUGAAGUUGACCGCCUGGGGAGUACGGUCGCAA
This 544-nucleotide ribosomal RNA is filed under the name uncultured bacterium. RNAcentral describes it as "partial 16S ribosomal RNA". It matches the Rfam family "Bacterial small subunit ribosomal RNA", at positions 355 to 891 of the family's 1533-position model. The record is from RNAcentral.